RNAcentral lists this ribosomal RNA (439 nucleotides) under Pseudomonas sp. VV16. RNAcentral describes it as "bacterial SSU rRNA". It matches the Rfam family "Bacterial small subunit ribosomal RNA", at positions 18 to 459 of the family's 1533-position model. Lineage: Bacteria; Pseudomonadati; Pseudomonadota; Gammaproteobacteria; Pseudomonadales; Pseudomonadaceae. The record is from RNAcentral.
CCUGGCUCAGAUUGAACGCUGGCGGCAGGCCUAACACAUGCAAGUCGAGCGGUAGAGAGAAGCUUGCUUCUCUUGAGAGCGGCGGACGGGUGAGUAAUGCCUAGGAAUCUGCCUGGUAGUGGGGGAUAACGUUCGGAAACGGACGCUAAUACCGCAUACGUCCUACGGGAGAAAGCAGGGGACCUUCGGGCCUUGCGCUAUCAGAUGAGCCUAGGUCGGAUUAGCUAGUUGGUGGGGUAAUGGCUCACCAAGGCGACGAUCCGUAACUGGUCUGAGAGGAUGAUCAGUCACACUGGAACUGAGACACGGUCCAGACUCCUACGGGAGGCAGCAGUGGGGAAUAUUGGACAAUGGGCGAAAGCCUGAUCCAGCCAUGCCGCGUGUGUGAAGAAGGUCUUCGGGUUGAGGGGUACUUUAAGUUGGGAGGAAGGGUUGUAGA